Molecule: ribosomal RNA, 1238 nt
Filed under: uncultured organism
Description: bacterial SSU rRNA
Rfam family: Bacterial small subunit ribosomal RNA
Source: RNAcentral
CAGUGGCGAACGGGUGAGUAACACGUUGGUGACCUGCCCCGAGGUGGGGAAUAGCUGUGGGAAACCACGGCUAAUACCCCGUGAUGUUAAAGAGUUUAGACAUCUUUAACUAAAGUUCCGGCGCCUCGGGAGGGGCCUGCGGGCUAUCAGCUUGUUGGUGGGGUAACGGGCUACCAAUGCUAAGACGGCUAGGGGGCGUGAGAGCGCGAACCCCCAACAAUGGAAACUGAGAAACGGUCCAUACUCCUACGGGAGGCACCAGUGAGGAAUAUUGCACAAUGGGGGAAACCCUGAUGCAGCAACGCCGCGUGAACGAUGAAAGGCCUUCGGGUUGUUAAAGUUCUUUUCUGAGGGACGAUAGUGACGGUACCUCAGGAAUAAGUCGCGGCUAAAUACGUGCGAGCAGCCGCGGUAAAACGUAGGGGGCGAGCGUUAUCCGGAUUUAUUGGGCGUAAAGCCCAAGUAGGCAGCGUUGUAAGUUGGACGUGAAAGAUCCCGGGUCAACUGGGAGAGGUCGUUCAAAACUACAGUGCUCGAGGUUGGAAGAGGAGAGUAGAAUUCCCGGUGUAGUGGUGGAAUGCGUAGAUAUCGGGAGGAAUACCAGUGGCGAAAGCGACUCUCUGGUCCACACCUGACGCUGAGGUGCGAAAGCGUGGGUAGCGAACGGGAUUAGAUACCCCCGGUAGUCCACGCCGUAAACGAUGGAUACUAGGUGUAGGGGGUCACUGAACCCCUCUGUGCCGUAGCAAACGCGUUAAGUAUCCCGCCUGGGGACUACGGCCGCAAGGUUAAAACUCAAAGGAAUUGACGGGGGCCCGCACAAGCAGCGGAGCGUGUGGUUUAAUUCGAUGAUACGCGAAGAACCUUACCUGGGCUGAACUACGUGGUAGUAGAAAAGCGAAAGCGGAUCGACCCUUCGGGGAGCCUCGAUAGGUGCUGCAUGGCUGUCGUCAGCUCGUGUCGUGAGAUGUUGGGUUAAGUCCCGCAACGAGCGCAACCCUUGUCGUUAGUUAUACGUGUCUAGCGAGACUGCCGGUAUCAAACCGGAGGAAGGUGGGGAUGACGUCAAGUCAGCAUGGUCUUUAUGUCCAGGGCUACACACACGCUACAAUGGCCGGUACAACAGGUUGCUAUACCGCGAGGUGGAGCUAAUCCCUAAAGCCGGUCUCAGUUCGGAUUGCAGUCUGCAACUCGACUGCAUGAAGGUGGAGUUGCUAGUAACCGCGCGUCAGCAAUAC